This 1445-nucleotide long non-coding RNA is filed under the name Mus musculus (house mouse). Its description in RNAcentral is "predicted gene, 71569". The record is from RNAcentral. Lineage: Eukaryota; Metazoa; Chordata; Mammalia; Rodentia; Muridae.
CAUUUUUCUUCUAGUCUCUCAUAGAAACUUCUGGCCUCUGGACACUGUGGGAGCAACUUUUCCUUUAUUAGACUGUCUCCUCUUUAACUGAAGAUACUUUAGCACAGCAAGCAUCUCUUUUAUGCUUACAUUAUGCAGUUAUGCAGACUUGGUGUACGUCCUUCAAGGACAGUCUAAGAAUCUUUGAUUCUAUUUCUGCUGGAUACAUUGUUGCAGAGAUGUAAGAAGGAAGGACUUAGAAAAGUAUGCUAUAAGAAUUGAAUGCUCAGAGGCAAGCUAACUUCACAAGGAGAAAAGAAAGAUGGAAACAGCCUAGACAAACUCAAAUCAAGUCCAGGAGACUUACGCUAGAGUUGCUUUUUCUAAUAGAAGAGACCAGUGUGCAAUUGUGAAUUGUGAUGCUGAGGCAAGCCCCAAGGAUGAAGAGAAUUAAAUAGAGGAGGAAGAGAAGAGCAUGACUGGGAAGCCUGUCCUUCAUUACUUCAAUUGAAGAAGAAGAAUGGAGUCCAUCCGGUGGCUCCUGGCAGCAGCUGGAGUAGAGUUUGAGGAAGAACUUUUUGAAACCCAUGAAGAGUUUGAGAAGUUAAUCCAAGGUGGAACCCUGAUAAGAGAAGGAGAUGAACCUUGAAUACAUCCUCCACCGAGCUACAACAAGAUUCUUCCCCGUUUAUGAGAAGAUCCCAGCUCCAGUCAACAAGAGGAAGCAUUCUUAUCUUCUGAGCCAUCUUUCCACCUCUACUGAACUCUCCUGGAUUCUAUUUUCUUUUUAAGGACUUUAAGUGUAGCUCCAGUACUAUUCAUGGUCCUGGUAUAGUCAGUUACCUUAUUUAAGUUUGAAGUCCAAUAGUACCUUCUAAACAAGACCCCCAGGGCCUCCCACACUGGGGUAGUAGGAUGAAAGUUAUCUCUCAAGAGCCUCGAACAGCACCAGAGCUUCAGGAAGCAGGACUCCAUGAGUUCUGUGAUUACUUAAAAAGUAAUGCUGUGUAUUGUUUCAAAUUUUUCACAUCUGCAAAAUGAUUCCUGGAAAUCAUGUGCUGUAGGCGCACAUUUAAAGAUGGUAUCCCUGACUCCGGGGUUGGGUGGUUCUUUGGUGACAUGUGAUCUUCUCCCAGGUGUAUUCAUUGUCAUAAGUACAGAUGUAGGGGGAAGAUGAUGAAAACGUGACUCAUCCUUUGAAGAAAAAGCCAGAUGAAUUUCCCAAACUCACCUACUAUACUGGCUUUGUUAUCUUUUCUGUACUAUAGGACAUGCUUAGAAUUGAAAGAUUAGUACAUACAUUUAAAUGAGCAUGUAUUUGUCAUGAGCAUGUAUUUGUUACUGUACACUUAUCAUGAAUUACAGGUACCCUACCUUCUUAAAUUAUAUUCUUUCUUAAUUACACUUAGUAAGUUUUUAGUCUUUUUGUUUCAAAAGAUAUCAAACUAUAAAUACUAUAUACUGCA